UUGACUUCUUGUAAAAAUCCUCAAAAUUUUGAUCUCAUUCCAUUAAGCUUAUCUAGCAUACUAAUCUAUAUUCUCAUCAUACUUGUAGAAGUAAAACUUCUUAGAUUUGGUUGUGAGAUUAAUUUACUUGUUUCUUUCAAUUGCACAACUUCUUAUUGUAGAUACUGAACUUCUUUUAUAGACAUAGGAUUAGUAUUUCUAUGGUUGGUACUGAUGAUGCAUAAAAUUUUCACUCUAAAAAUGUUGACAAGUUCUUAAAGAUUUUUAAUAGUUGCAAAUCUAUUCUCACUUCCACCAGCUGUAACAUUAAUAAUUUUUUCUUCUAUUUCAAGCAACUUAUCAAAUCUAUAAAUCAAAUUAUAAGAGGAUAGUCUGCAACCUCUAGUAUUUAAUGAAAAUUUCCACAAAGAAGGAUAAUCCACUCUCUUUAAAGAAAAAAA
Molecule: long non-coding RNA, 440 nt
Filed under: Physcomitrium patens
Lineage: Eukaryota; Viridiplantae; Streptophyta; Bryopsida; Funariales; Funariaceae
Description: long non-coding RNA (PPAT_LNC012135)
Source: RNAcentral